GGCUGCAACUCGCCUACACGAAGCUGGAAUCGCUAGUAAUCGCGGAUCAGCACGCCGCGGUGAAUACGUUCCCGGGCCUUGUACACACCGCCCGUCACACCAUGAGAGUUGGCAAUACCCAACGUACGUGAUCUAACCCGCAAGGGAGGAAGCGUCCUAAGGUAGGGUCAGCGAUUGGGGUGAAGUCGUAACAAGGUAGC
RNAcentral lists this ribosomal RNA (200 nucleotides) under uncultured bacterium. RNAcentral describes it as "partial 16S ribosomal RNA". It matches the Rfam family "Bacterial small subunit ribosomal RNA", at positions 1303 to 1500 of the family's 1533-position model. The record is from RNAcentral.